Molecule: long non-coding RNA, 2044 nt
Organism: Macaca fascicularis (crab-eating macaque)
Lineage: Eukaryota; Metazoa; Chordata; Mammalia; Primates; Cercopithecidae
Source: Ensembl
GCAUGCAGCUGGGAAGGGAUUCAUCUAGGGGAUGAGAAAUGAAAAAAAGACUCUCAGGACCUGAGGGAAUUCAAAUAGAGGGCUUUGAUUUUUUUAAAAAAAUGACAUGUGGAAAUGAUCUUUUUUUUUUGUAUAGUCAUAUCUCAUAGAAAACAUUUUACCACUACCAUCACCCCUAGUUGGUUGUGAAGGGAUUGCCUCUUAUCCCUGAAAGGUAACUCCUGUUCUGAAAAGUUGGGAUGCAUUAGACAUCAGUGUUAGGUGAUGUCUGUUGCAGUUUGAAGAGUCCUUAACCUUGAUUAAGGAAGGCUUCCUGGGAGAGGUGGGCUUUUGGGGCCAUUAUAUGAUAGAGAAGAGAGAAAAAUGGCAGAUGGAAGUGGGAGACAGUUCCACACACAGGGGGUGGAGAAUGAUGUGGAGGCAGCAGUGGGUGUAACGACAAUGGUGCCAAGAGAUUUAUUUGGCUAGAACACAAGGGGCAGCUGGGUAGUUAGGAGUGGGAGGAUGGUAGGACAGUCUGACAGAAACCUUGGAACCAGUUGAACUCUGAAAAGCUGAUGGGAAAUCAUGAGGAAAAUGGCAUGGUUGAAAAUAGUAAUAGAAAAAUAAGACCUAAGUUUUAAAUGACUGGAUUUUAGAAAGUAGGGUAAUUAUUUCUUUGGUAUACCCAACUUUGCAAAGAUACGUAGCAUUGCAUCCUUCCUGUUUGCUUUUAGACAGGGUUGGCCAUAAACCAACUACACUGAUAGAGGUCUCUCCAGAUUGUCUCAGAAGAGAGAGUUUACCCUGAAACUUAAUGACAUGAAUAAGACUUAUUUACUGAAAUUUUUAUUGCAAUUUAACGUUAAAAGUUUCUGCUGGAGUUUUAUGCAUAUUUUUCUCUCUAAGUGGUGGGAAAUACAGAACAAAUCUCUUUCCAUGUAAUGACUCUUCUCUGUGCUCAAAGACCAAGACUCUGUCUCUUGAGAUACCAAUUAAUACUAAAUAUUCACAGUUUAUCUUUUCCUGGGUCCCAGUUUCUUUCCUUUUAUUGUUAACUAUCUUCACUUUCCCUGCUUUUAAAAAUCCGAACUCAGUUAAGCAACCAGUCAUUGAAAUCUUCCUCAGCUGGGGGUUAGCUAGAAAAGGGAGAAAACCAAUGGCAUUCAUCAGUAACAACAAAAUCCCAGUUUGUAAGUCAUUCUAGCUUUAGGAAAUAUGUAGGUAUGUAACAAGAGAAAAAAUCUCCAUUGAAGAAUCAGAGGCCAAAUUACAUAGCAGUUUGAGAAAACUCAUAAAUAUGUAUGAGUUUUAUUUCUUUAGUAAACCCAACUUUGCAAAGCUUAAUGCCUAGAAUCCCAACAAAAAACCACUUUUUCACCCAUCUUUAAGCAGACAGUGGUACUGUAUUCUCAACAGCAUUCUGGGGAACUUCACCCAUUCAUUUUUAAGAAUACCUUUGUGGACACCUUCUAAAUAUAUAUUGCAUUAUUCUUGACAAAACAAAAGGGUUUUCUGUAUCUUAUAUGCACCUAGCUUUUUGUUUGAAUUUCUAAAAAUUAUAUUUAAAUAAAAGUUUGAUUCAAGAGGUACUGCUGAUCUGGAAGCUUUGCUUUCCUUGCCAACAUGCUUAGCCAAAUGCAGCUAACCUUUCCCACAUCUGCCAAAAAGGACCAUCUUUGGAACACUGGGACACUGCCAUGUCUGUGGCCUUGUGUAGAAGAGUUGGCCAAGCUAAAAGAUUUCUCUUUAAUCAGACACAGGCUGGGUGCAGUGGCUCAUGCCUGUAAUCCCAGCACUUUGUGCGGCUGAAGUGGGAGAAUCACUUGAAGCCAGGAGUUUGAGACCAGGCUGGACAACACAGCAAGACCCCGUCUCUACAUUGAAAAAAAAAAAAAAAGCAAGCUGGGUAUGGUGGCUCACACUUUUUGUCCUAGCUACUUGGAAGGCUAAGGCAGGAGGACUGCUUGGGCCCAGGUAGUCAAGGCUGCAGUAAGUCAUGAUUGUGCCACUGUAGCCUGAAUGACAGGGCAAGAACCUGUCUCUACAAAAAAAAAAAAAAAAA